CUUCUUGGUCAUUUAGAGGAAGUAAAAGUCGUAACAAGGUUUCCGUAGGUGAACCUGCGGAAGGAUCAUUAUAGAAUAAACUUGGUAGGGUUGUUGCUGGCUCCUUGGAGCAAUGUGCACGCUCUAACACCAAUUGUUUUUACCACCUGUGCACCUUUUGUAGAUCUCGGAAUAUACAUAUGUGAAAGCAUUGUAUUUCCUAGUCUACGUUUUCUAUAUACACCAUAUAAUUGUAAUAGAAUGUUGUUUCAAAAGAGGCUUUUUUUUGAAGUCUUUUUUAAUCAAAUACAACUUUCAACAACGGAUCUCUUGGCUCUCGCAUCGAUGAAGAACGCAGCGAAAUGCGAUAAGUAAUGUGAAUCGCAGAAUUCAGUGAAUCAUCGAAUCUUUGAACGCACCUUGCGCUCCUUGGUAUUCCGAGGAGCAUGCCUGUUUGAGUGUCAUUAAAUUCUCAAAAGUUUAAUCUUUUGGAUGUGGGAGUUUGCCGGCUUCUCAGAAGUCAAGCUCUCCUUAAUGUCAUUAGUAAAUGCUUACUGACUAUUCUCUGGGUGUGACAAUUAUCUACGCCAAUGGGAUAAAAGCGAGCUUUGCUUAUAACUGUCUAGUUUUAAUAGACAAUCUUGAAAAUCUGACCUCAAAUCAGGUAGGACUACCCGCUGAACUUAAGCAUAUCAAUAAGCGGAGGAAAGGG
This 691-nucleotide ribosomal RNA is filed under the name Calocybe hebelomoides. Its description in RNAcentral is "eukaryotic LSU rRNA". The stretch from base 290 to 443 matches the Rfam family "5.8S ribosomal RNA". Lineage: Eukaryota; Fungi; Basidiomycota; Agaricomycetes; Agaricales; Lyophyllaceae. The record is from RNAcentral.